Molecule: long non-coding RNA, 698 nt
Organism: Cavia porcellus (domestic guinea pig)
Lineage: Eukaryota; Metazoa; Chordata; Mammalia; Rodentia; Caviidae
Exons: 4
Source: RefSeq, a predicted model, not a curated record
GUCACUACCCUUGUGAGGCUGAUUAUAUCAUUCCUUCAAAUGUCCUCGGGAACAAGAGAACAGAGAGUGUUAGCAUCACCAAAUGGCUUGCCUAUGUCACACACAUCCUUUACACUUUUAAAGCUCUUUUUAAAUCUCUCCACCUGACGAUAUUCAGGUUUCUUCUGGAUGGCCAGAGUAGUCCUUUUAGGAACACCAGGAAAGCGCUCUUCAGAACAUUUGUCCUCGGCUCGGUGAAGCUGUACGGAUGGUGCUGCCUCAGCAGGAAACUACCUUCUUGCAGAAGAACCGCCAAUUAUUUGUAGUGAAACUAAAACAGAGGAAUAAAUAUUGCAUGCUGAUGGAUGCUUGUCAGGAAAGAAAGUGAGUCCCCUGUACACGAUGCACUGUAGAGGAGUCUUGGAAGUUUUGUGCAACUCAAGGAGUAAGCUGCGUUGCAACUAUAACAAAAAGCUUGCCAAGCUCCCUGAAAUUGAAGAGUCAAACACAUUCUCACCCAGUGAUCAGCUGUGGUUUCUAAGUGACACUCUGCAUGUGGAGCUCAGAGAAACCUAACACCUACAGGGAUGUGUUGAAGAAACCAGAUAGCAAGGCCGCCAAGCGACUCCAUCUCUGUUUCCAUUCCCUGGGGUUUAUCAACUUUGUUAAUGGGGCAUAUGUGCUGAGAAUUAUAUAACAUUAAACAUGGGGAACAUUUC